AACGCGAAGAACCUUACCUGGAUUUGACAUCCUCGGACAACCCUAGAGAUAGGGCUUCCCCUUCGGGGGCCGGGAGACAGGUGCUGCAUGGCUGUCGUCAGCUCGUAUCGUGAGAUGUCGGGUUAAGUCCCUUAACGAGCGCAACCCUUGUCUCUAGUUGCCAUCAUUUAGUUGGGCACUCUAGAGAAACCGCCGGUGUUAAACCGGAGGAAGGUGGGGAUGACGUCAAGUCCUCAUGGCCUUUAUAUCCAGGGCCACACACGUGCUACAAUGGCAGAUACAAAGGGUCGCUAACCCGCAAGGGGGAGCUAAUCUCAGAAAGUCUGUCUCAGUUCGGAUUGAAGUCUGCAACUCGACUUCAUGAAGCUGGAAUCGCUAGUAAUCGCGGAUCAGAACGCCGCGGUGAAUACGUUCCCGGGCCUUGUACACACCGAGACGUA
This 440-nucleotide ribosomal RNA is filed under the name uncultured bacterium. RNAcentral's name for it is "bacterial SSU rRNA". It matches the Rfam family "Bacterial small subunit ribosomal RNA", at positions 958 to 1398 of the family's 1533-position model. The record is from RNAcentral.